RNAcentral lists this microRNA (21 nucleotides) under Gossypium raimondii (Peruvian cotton). Its description in RNAcentral is "gra-miR166c". Its record names the gene gra-miR166c. The record is from miRBase by way of RNAcentral. Lineage: Eukaryota; Viridiplantae; Streptophyta; Magnoliopsida; Malvales; Malvaceae.
UAUAUGAUCUCGGACCAGGCU